GAUGAACGCUGGCGGCGUGCCUAAUACAUGCCAGUCGAGCGAAGCGGGGUCGGGUGAGUAACACGUGGAUAACCUCCUAUAAGACUGGGAUAACUUCGGGAAACCGGAGCUAAACCGGAUACUUAUCGAUGGAUCCGCGCUGCAUUAGCUAGUUGGUAAGGUAACGGCUUACCAAGUCAACGAUGCAUAGCCGACCUGAGAGGGUGAAGAAGCACAGUGGAACUGAGACAAGGUACAGACUCCUACGGGAGGCAGCAGUAGGGAAUGUUCCGCAAUGGGCGAAAGCCUGACGAAGCAACGCCGGGUGAGUGAUGAAGGGCUUCGGAUCGUAAAUCUCUGUUAUUGGGGAAGCGGUACCUAAUCAGAAAGCCACGGCUAACUACGUGCCAGCAGCCGCGGUAAUAC
This 405-nucleotide ribosomal RNA is filed under the name uncultured bacterium. RNAcentral's name for it is "partial 16S ribosomal RNA". It matches the Rfam family "Bacterial small subunit ribosomal RNA", at positions 28 to 526 of the family's 1533-position model. The record is from RNAcentral.